GUUAUUUAAUUGAUAACUGGUAUGAAUGGUUUUAUAAAAAAUAUUCUUUUUUUAUUUUUAAUUUAAAAUUUUAUUUUAAAGUUAAAAAGCUUUAAUUUAUUUAUUAGACGAUAAGACCCUUUAGAACUUUAAUAUUAUUUUAAAUUAUAUUUUUAGUUUUAUAAAUAUAAAUUAUUUAUAUAUUUUUGUUGGGGUGAUGGUUAAUUUUUAAAAACUUUAAUUUAAAUAUAUUCAUAGAUUUAUGAUUUUUUUGAUCCAAUUUGUUUGAUUAAAAGAUUAAGUUACCUUAGGGAUAACAGCGUAAUUUUGUUGGAGAGUUCUUAUUAAUAACAAAGUUUGCGACCUCGAUGUUGGAUUAA
This 359-nucleotide ribosomal RNA is filed under the name Orius majusculus. RNAcentral's name for it is "partial 16S ribosomal RNA". The record is from RNAcentral. Lineage: Eukaryota; Metazoa; Arthropoda; Insecta; Hemiptera; Anthocoridae.